CAUGGNUCAGAAUCAACGCUGGCGGCGUGCCUUACACAUGCAAGUCGAACGCGAAAGCGAACUUCGGUUCGCAAGUAGAGUGGCAAACGGGUGAGUAUCGCGUGGGUGACCUACCUUCGAGUGGGGGAUAACCUUCCGAAAGGGGGGCUAAUACCGCAUAACAUCCCGCUUUUAGAGAAGCGGUGAUCAAAGCUGGCCGUUCGCGGCUAGCGCUUGUUGAGGGGCCCGCGUCCGAUUAGCUUGUUGGUGGGGUAAUGGCUCACCAAGGCUUCGAUCGGUAGCCGGCCUGAGAGGGCGGACGGCCACACUGGGACUGAGACACGGCCCAGACUCCUACGGGAGGCAGCAGUGGGGAAUUGUUCGCAAUGGGCGAAAGCCUGACGACGCAACGCCGCGUGGAGGACGAAGAUCUUCGGGUCGUAAACUCCUGUCGAGCGGGAAGAACAGCGUGCCGGUUAAUACCCGGCACGCCUGACGGUACCGCUAAAGGAAGCCCCGGCUAACUCCGUGCCAGCAGCCGCGGUAAUACGGGGGGGGCAAGCGUUGUUCGGAUUUACUGGGCGUAAAGGGCUCGUAGGCGGCCAUCUAAGUCGAUUGUGAAAUCCCUCGGCUCAACCGGGGAACUGCGACCGAUACUGGAUGGCUUGAAGCCGGGAGAGGGAUGCGGAAUUUCAGGUGUAGCGGUGAAAUGCGUAGAUAUCUGAAGGAACACCCGUGGCGAAGGCGGCAUCCUGGACCGGUCUUGACGCUGAGGAGCGAAAGCUAGGGGAGCGAACGGGAUUAGAUACCCCGGUAGUCCUAGCCGUAAACGAUGAAUGUUUGGUGUGGCGGGUAUCGAUCCCUGCCGUGCCGUAGCUAACGCGUUAAACAUUCCGCCUGGGGAGUACGGUCGCAAGGCUGAAACUC
Molecule: ribosomal RNA, 906 nt
Filed under: uncultured Terriglobales bacterium
Lineage: Bacteria; Pseudomonadati; Acidobacteriota; Terriglobia; Terriglobales
Description: SSU rRNA
Rfam family: Bacterial small subunit ribosomal RNA
Source: RNAcentral